CCUACGGGUGGCAGCAGUGGGGAAUAUUGGACAAUGGGCGAAAGCCUGAUCCAGCCAUGCCGCGUGUGUGAAGAAGGCCUUCGGGUUGUAAAGCACUUUCAGUGGGGAAGAAAGCCUUGGGGCUAAUACCCUCGAGGAAGGACAUCACCCACAGAAGAAGCACCGGCUAACUCCCGUGCCAGCAGCCGCGGUAAUACGGAGGGUGCGAGCGUUAAUCGGAAUUACUGGGCGUAAAGCGCGCGUAGGCGGUCUGAUAAGCCGGUUGUGAAAGCCCCGGGCUCAACCUGGGAACGGCAUCCGGAACUGUCAGGCUAGAGUGCAGGAGAGGAAGGUAGAAUUCCCGGUGUAGCAGUGAAAUGCGUAGAGAUCGGGAGGAAUACCAGUGGCGAAGGCGGCCUUCUGGACUGACACUGACGCUGAGGUGCGAAAGCGUGGGUAGCAAACAGGAUUAGAUACCCGAGUAGUC
RNAcentral lists this ribosomal RNA (466 nucleotides) under Vreelandella stevensii. RNAcentral's name for it is "partial 16S ribosomal RNA". It matches the Rfam family "Bacterial small subunit ribosomal RNA", at positions 338 to 795 of the family's 1533-position model. The record is from RNAcentral. Lineage: Bacteria; Pseudomonadati; Pseudomonadota; Gammaproteobacteria; Oceanospirillales; Halomonadaceae.